GCGCUCUGACUAUCACAAAAUAGAGCAAUCUUCUCUAGUUUGUGUCCGAGCUCCUCCAUUAUCAUUUGCAACCAGAUUGCCUCUUUACUGGCUUGUGUAGCUGCCACGUAUUCUGCCUCUAUAGUAGAAGUAGCCACGAUAGACUGCAGUUUCGAAACCCAACUUACAGCUCCUCCAGCAAGAGUAAACACAUAUCCUGUGGUGGAUUUGCUUUUAUCAAGAUCACCUGCAUAAUCUGAAUCAACAUAGCUUCUGACAAUAAAGUCUGAUCCUCCAUAACAUAAUGUAGCAUUUGAGGUACCCUUGACAUAUCUCAGGAUCCUCUUCACAGUACUCCAAUGCUCUUUACCAGGAUUUGCCAUGUAUCGACUAACCGCUCCCACUGCUUGUGCAAUGUCUGGUCUUGUACAAAUCAUAGCAAACAUCAAACUACCCACUGCUGAUGCAUAUGGUACUCGAGACAUCUCCAUCCUCUCUGCUUCAUUGCUAGGACUCAUACUUGAGGAUAACUUGAAAUUAAUAGAAAGUGGGGUAGAAAUUGGCUUACACUCUUGCAUAUUGAAGCGACGCAAGAUUUUCUUCAAGUAGUUCUUCUGAUUAAGCCAAAUCUUCCUAUUAUUUCUAUCUCGGUAAAUUUGCAUUUCUAGAAUCUUGUUUGCCUGUCCCAAGUCCUUCAUUUCAAAUUCCCUAGCCAACUGUGCCUUCAAGUUUUCAAUACGAUCUUUGUUGGGGCCUGCUACCAACAUGUCGUCAACGUACAACAGCAAGAUAAUGAAAUCAUUAUCACCAAAUCUCAUGUAGUAUGCACAUGGAUCUGAACAGAGUCUGUUAUAUCCAAGGCUCAUGAUGAAGGAAUCAAAUCUCUUAUACCAGCAUCUCGGCGCCUGUUUGAGACCGUAUAGAGAUUUGUUCAACCUGCAAAUCAAGUUCUCUUUUCCUAUUUCUUUAAAACCUUCUGGUUGGAGCAUAUAAAUCUCUUCUUCAAGUUCUCCAUGAAAAAAUGCAGUUUUCACAUCUA
Molecule: long non-coding RNA, 1018 nt
Filed under: Olea europaea subsp. europaea
Lineage: Eukaryota; Viridiplantae; Streptophyta; Magnoliopsida; Lamiales; Oleaceae
Source: RNAcentral